CCUACGGGUGGCUGCAGUGAGGGAUAUUGCACAAUGGGGGAAACCCUGAUCCAGCGACGCCGCGUGUGGGAAGACGGCCCUCUGGAUUGUAAACCACUGUCCCCAGGGACGAAGAUGACGGUACCUGGGGAGGUAGCUCCGGCGAACUACGUGCCAGCAGCUGCGGUAAUACGUAGGGAGCGAGCGUUGUCCGGAAUUACUGGGUGUAAAGGGAGCGUAGGCGGGGAUGCAAGUUGGGUGUCAAAACUACAGGCUCAACUAGUAGUCGUACUGAAAACUGGAGCUCUAGAGUGAAGUAGAGGCAGGCGGAAGGCGUAGUGUAGCGGUGAAAUGCGUAGAUAUUAGGAGGAACACCAGUGGCGAAGGCGGCCUGCUGGGCUAUUACUGACGCUGAGGCUCGAAAGUGUGGGGAGCGAACAGGAUUAGAUACCCGUGUAGUC
This 440-nucleotide ribosomal RNA is filed under the name uncultured bacterium. RNAcentral describes it as "partial 16S ribosomal RNA". It matches the Rfam family "Bacterial small subunit ribosomal RNA", at positions 338 to 795 of the family's 1533-position model. The record is from RNAcentral.